ACUGGGCAUGGUACAUGCCUGUUGUCCAAGCUACUUGGGAGGCUGAGGCAAGAGGAUCACUUGAGUCUAUGAGUUCCAAAUCAGCCUGUUAACAGUGAGAUCCUGUCUCAA
RNAcentral lists this small RNA (111 nucleotides) under Marmota monax (woodchuck). Lineage: Eukaryota; Metazoa; Chordata; Mammalia; Rodentia; Sciuridae. The record is from RNAcentral.